CCAGGAAUUACUAAAACUAAAAUUAUUAUCUUUGGGAAGCAUAAAACUAAAGUCUAGGUAAGAGAAAGGCAUGAUAUAAAGUUGAGCUACUGUUUAUCCUGUUUCUACUACACUAAGUUCUGGAGAUUUAUUUUGAAAACUUACAAAUCACAUGAUGAGUUCCUAGCAUACAAAACUACCUACCACAGCUAUACUUGCUAUAACAUCUUUUACUAUAUUCACAUUGAGUUUGAUCGAGCUGUGUAGACCCUUAGGAGCUUUUCAUGUGGUUAAAUUAAGAUAUUCACUUGCACACAUCUACCACACCAUCCAUCACCAAUCAUUAAAAUUGCUAAAAAUAUUUUCACUCACUGUCCCGAAUAUUGUUAUUCUCUCUCUCUAAAAAGAUUCAAUGCAGAAGAGGCAUGGGUUAUGCAAAAAUAUGCGAGGAAAUAAAAAGGGGCAAGUGCCCGGAACCUCGAUAAAGAAAGAAAAAGAGUGAGACGAGAGGUAAAAAUGGACAAGUGUCCGAAGUAGAAUUAGGGGUACAAAGAUGCCCACUUGAGCGGAAAAAAUGGACAAGUGUCCGAUAGUAGAAUUAGGGGUAUCUACUACCCACCUGAAAAAAAAGAGAAAAGAUAGCCCAUGUUUUCCAAAAGCAAAGAUCAAAGAAGAGAAGAGGUAGCAACAUGAGGAGCAAUGAGAACUAAGUUUUAUUAACACUUAUACAUUUUCACCAUUACUAUCAUUUACUCCACCACACAUGCACAUCUUGAUUUAAUUAUAUGCUGAGUUCCUUUGGAUCCAUGGCUCGAUUAGACAAUAUAUGUAUGAGCUGUUUUUCACUCCUAUGAGCUCCACUUAAACAUUCCAUUAGCUAUAGGUAAGUGACAUUAUGGUAAGGAUCCACAAAUACCACAUAUAGAGAGACUUGAGAGAAUCAUUGCUGGGAACUCUGAGUUUUAUUUUAAAAACUUAUGAAAAACUCUAGAACAAAGGUGAAGUAUAGACAGGAGGGAUAGUGCUUGACUUAACUAUUUUGUCUUUCGAUUACUUAAGAUUUAAGUGCAGAUACUAAACUCCACAACACUUCACUCUAAUCUGGAAGAAUUUUAUGUAAAAGCAUGUGUGCCUGUCAGGAAAGAAAACAUCGAAGCAACUCCUGAUCCGUCUGAGUUUAGCUGUUUGCUCAGGGACGAGCAAAGGGUAAGCUUGGGGGAGUUUGUUGACGGUCCUUAAGUACUAAAAUUAAUAAUCAAAUAAACAUGGAAAAGGAUCAAUAUGAAACAAAUAUCUAGAAUUAGGGUUUUAUCUGACAGAAUUCCACGAGUUUUGGUGUUUAUCUAUUUCUGCAGGGGUUUAUCAGAAAAUAUGGAGAGAAGGCCCACAUGUCAUGUUUACAACGAGAUAAUUACGUGCCGCGCAAUUUUCCUCAAUCUAGAAGAAUCCAGAAGCCACGAGAACGAACGAGAAGGGAUUCGGGCUCAGGGGCAGGGCGCCCGCCCACCCCCCUUGGGCGCCCGCCCAGGGUAGGAGUCCAGUCAGGACUCUGCUUCGGGACAACGCUCCACCGACCUAAAGGAUCAAUCUAAACCAUACAAUCUAUGUCGGUUUGAUCCAAUGGCUCACGUUCACUUGAGGGGACUAUAAAACCAGACCCCCUAGCCCCUGGAGGAGAAGAGAAGAAAUCAUUAUUCAGAGGUAGCCAUCAAAGUUAGGGUUUAGAGCUUCUCUCCCACAGAGAAUUAGAAUUAGCUACUCCCUAAUCCUUCAAGUUUAGAGGUUUGAUUAGAUAGCAAUUAGAGAAGUCGAGCACUACGCUCUGGAUUCGGAUCUUCGGUAAUAAAGAUUGGUAUUAUUCAUAUCUUUCUCUAAUUCUAUUGUUCUAAUUGCAUUAUGUCUCUAAUUAUUAUGUUCUUAGUUUGUUCUAGUUCUAUAUUUGAUAUAGUUCUAAUUGAUAAUGAGUUUAUGUAUAAGUUUGCAAAGCACUUAGCUCUUGACGCGAGGGAGUUAGGUGAUAGAUCACAUGUGAGCGUGGUGCUUAGAUGUUAUUUAUCUGCAAAUGUAUCCUAUUGGCCGGGUCGUGUGGUAGUUCGCGAUAGUGACAGCUUCGUUGAUUCUUAUAUAGUCCACCCUCCGUUGAUAGGACAGGCAGAACCGGUAUUGUGGAGUAAGUCAUGCGAUGUUCUGAUUUACUUUAUCAAUGUUCCUUAUACAUGAAUGAAGAGUCUUUUAUGCUAUGUAUGAUCUUGUAGAUAACUAGAGUAGAUUAUGACUUAGUAGUUAGUAGAUAACUUAGAAUCCAUUCUCUAGCUAAUCCGACAUCACCUACAUAUAUGAGGAGUAGUCUAUUUUCUAAUCGCUGUGUUAUCUACCCAUGAACUUAUAAUUCAUUAUCAUUAUCUUUAUGGUUUACCCCUUGCUAAAGUAUGUGACUGUGUGAUGAGUUUCUCAUUAGUAAUCAUGUUCUUGCAAGUUUAUCUCUAGAUUAUGCCUUGAUAGAUUUUGCCCCCUUGAUUUAAUUUUAUUUUCUUGAGAUCCCUUGAGCAAAAUUAUAAAUAACGAUACCUGGAAUACUUAUCCUGGUGAAAUGCUACAAUGAGGUGUUUUAUCUGUGCGCUUGCGGAUAGAAUAGAUUAUUUUCUAGAGAGCCUUUACAUUUAUAAAUACCUUUGUACACUCUGGCGCCAUGCUAGGGAUGACAACCUAGUAUCUAAGUGGUGUUAGCUAGUGUCAACAAAAGGCAUGAUAUAAAGUGAGCUACUGUUUAUCUUGUUCCUACUACACUAAGUUCUGGAGAUUUAUUUUGGAAACUUACAAAGCACAUGAUGAGUUCCUAGCAUUACAAACUACCUACCACAGCCAUGUUUGCUAUAACAUCUUUUACUACACUUACAUUGAGUUUGAUCGAGCUGUGUAGACCUUUAGGAGCUUUUCAUGUGGUUAAAUUAAGAUAAUCACUUGCACACAUCUACCACACCAUCCACCACUAUUUAUUAAAAUUGCUAAAAAUAAUAUUAUCACUCACUGUCCCAAAUAUUGUUAUUCUCUCUCUCUAAAAAAAGAUUCAAUGCAGAAGAGGCAUGGGUUAUGCAAAAAUAUGCGAGGAAAUAAAAAGGGGCAAGUGCCCGGAACCUUGGAAAAGAAAGAAAAAGAGUGAGACGAGGGGUAAAAAUGGACAAGUGUCCGAAGUAGAAUUAGGGGGUACAAAGAUGCCCACUUAAGCGGAAAAAAUGGACAAGUGUCCGAUAGUAGAAUUAGGGGUGUCUACUACCCACCUGAAAAAAAAGAAAAAAAAAGAGAAAAAGAUAGCCCAUGUUCUCCCAAAGCAAAGAUCAAAGAAGAGGAGAGAUAGCAAUAUAAGGAGCAAAUUGAGAAGAAAGCUUUAUCAUUACUUAUAUAUUUUUACCAUCACUAUCAUUUACUCCACCACACAUGCACAUCUUGAUUUAAUUAUAUGCUGAGUUCCUUUGGAUCCAUGGCUCGAUUAGACAACAUAUGUAUGAGCUGUUUUUCACUCCUAUGAGCUCCACUUAAAUAUUCCAUUAGCUAUAGGUAAGUGAUAUUUUAAGGAUCCACAAAUACCACAUAUAGAGAGACUUAAGAGAAUCAUUGCUGGGAACUCUGAGUUUUAUUUUGAAAACUUAUGAAAAACUCUAGAACAAAGGUGAAGUAUAGACAGGAGGAAUAGUGCUUGACUUAAUUGUUUUGUCUUUGAAUUACUUAAAGACUUAAGUGCAGAUACUAAACUCCAUAACACUUCACUCUAAUCUGGAAGAAUUUUAUAAAAGCAUGUGUGCCUGUCAGGAAAGAAAACAUCGAAGCAACUUCUAAACCGUCUAAGUUUAGCUGUUUGCUCAGGGACGAGCAAAGGGUAAGCUUGGGGGAUUUUGUUGACGGUCCUUAAGUACUAAAAUUAACAAUCAAAUAAACAUGGAAAAUGAUCAAUAUGGACCAAACAUCUAGAAUUAGGGUUUUAACUGACAGAAUUCCACGAGCUUUGGUGUUUAUCUAUUUCUGCAGGGGGUUAUCAGAGAAUAUGGAGAGAAGGCCCACAUGUCAUGUUUACAACGAGAUAAUUACGUGCCGCGCAAUUUUGCUCAAUCUAGAAGAGUCCAGAAGCCACGGGAACGAACGAGAACACGAUCGGGCUCGGGGACAGGGCGCCCGCCCACCCCCCUUGGGCGCCCGCCCUGGCCAGGAGUUGGAUCAGGACUCUGUUUCGUGACUAAACUCCACCGACCUAAAGGAUGAAUCUAAACCAUACAAUCAAUGUCGGUUUGAUCCAACGGCCCAAAUUCACUUGAAAGGACUAUAAAACCAAGGCCUCUCCACCCCUGGAGGAGAGAGGAGAAGAGAAGAAAUCAUUAUUCAGAGGUAGCCAUCAAAGUUAGGGUUUAGAGCUUCUCUCCCACAGAGAAUUAGAAUUAGCUACUCCCUAAUCCUUGAAGUUUAGAGGUUUGAUUAGAUAGCAAUUAGAGAAGUAGAGCACUACGCUCUGGAUUCGGAUCUUCGGUAAUAAAGAUUGGUAUUAUUCAUAUCUUUCUCUAAUUCUUUGUUCUAAUUGCAUUAUGUCUGUAAUUAUUAUGUUCUUAGUUUGCUCUAGUUCUAUAUUUGAUAUAGUUAUGAUUGAUAAUGAGUUUAUGUAUAAGUUUGCAAAGCGCUUAGCUCUUGACGCGAGGGAGUUAGGUGAUAGAUCACAUGUGAGCGUGGUGCUUAGAUGUUAUUUAUCUGCAAAUGUAUCCUAUUGGCCGGGUCGUGUGGUAGUUCGUGAUAGUGACAGCUUUGUUGAUUCUUAUAUAGUCCACCCUCCAUUGAUAGGACAGGCAGAACCGGUAUUGUGGAGUAAGUCUUGCGAUGCUCUGAUUUACUUUAGCAAUGUUCCUUAUACAUGAAUGAAGAGUCUUUUAUGCUAUGUAUGAUCUUGUAGAUGACUAGAGUAGAUUAUGACUUAGUAGA
This 4938-nucleotide long non-coding RNA is filed under the name Sorghum bicolor (sorghum). Its description in RNAcentral is "long non-coding RNA (SBIC_LNC008062)". The record is from RNAcentral. Lineage: Eukaryota; Viridiplantae; Streptophyta; Magnoliopsida; Poales; Poaceae.